RNAcentral lists this ribosomal RNA (468 nucleotides) under uncultured bacterium. Its description in RNAcentral is "partial 16S ribosomal RNA". It matches the Rfam family "Bacterial small subunit ribosomal RNA", at positions 28 to 507 of the family's 1533-position model. The record is from RNAcentral.
GACGAACGCUGGCGGCGUGCUUAACACAUGCAAGUCGAACGGAAAGGCCCUGCUUUUGUGGGGUGCUCGAGUGGCGAACGGGUGAGUAACACGUGAGUAACCUGCCCUUGACUUUGGGAUAACUUCAGGAAACUGGGGCUAAUACCGGAUAGGAGCUCCUGCUGCAUGGUGGGGGUUGGAAAGUUUCGGCGGUUGGGGAUGGACUCGCGGCUUAUCAGCUUGUUGGUGGGGUAGUGGCUUACCAAGGCUUUGACGGGUAGCCGGCCUGAGAGGGUGACCGGCGACAUUGGGACUGAGAUACGGCCCAGACUGCUACGGGAGGCAGCAGUGGGGAAUAUUGCACAAUGGGCGGAAGCCUGAUGCAGCAACGCCGCGGGCGGGAUGACGGCCUUCGGGUUGUAAACCGCUUUCGCCUGUGACGAAGCGUGAGUGACGGUAAUGGGUAAAGAAGCACCGGCUAACUACGUG